GGACUACAGGGGUUUCUAAUCCUGUUUGCUCCCCACGCUCUCGCGCCUCAGCGUCAGUGUCAGCCCAGGUGGCCGCCUUCGCCACUGGUGUUCCUUCCGAUCUCUACGCAUUUCACCGCUACACCGGAAAUUCCGCCACCCUCUACUGUACUCCAGCCAUCCAGUUCUAAAUGCCAUUCCUAGGUUAAGCCCAGGGGUUUCACAUCUAGCUUAAAUGACCGCCUACGCGCCCUUUACGCCCAGUAACUCCGAUUAACGCUCGCACCCUCUGUAUUACCGCGGCUGCUGGCAC
This 292-nucleotide ribosomal RNA is filed under the name uncultured bacterium. RNAcentral describes it as "partial 16S ribosomal RNA". The record is from RNAcentral.